UAGCCUUGACAUACUACAGAAUUUGACAGAGAUGUUGGAGUGCCUUCGGGAGCUGUAAUACAGGUGCUGCACGGCUGUCGUCAGCUCGUGUCGUGAGAUGUUGGGUUAAGUCCCGCAACGAGCGCAACCCUCGUCCUUAGUUACUAACGGUUUGGCCGAGGACUCUAAGGAGACUGCCUUCGUAAGGAGGAGGAAGGUGAGGACGACGUCAAGUCAUCAUGGCCCUUACGGCUAGGGCAACACACGUGCUACAAUGGUUAGGACAAUGAGAAGCGAUACCGCGAGGUGGAGCAAAUCUAUAAACCUAAUCUCAGUUCGGAUAGCAGUCUGCAACUCGACUGCUUGAAGCUGGAAUCACUAGUAAUCGUAAAUCAGCUAUGUUACGGUGAAUACGUUCCCGGGUCU
RNAcentral lists this ribosomal RNA (405 nucleotides) under uncultured bacterium. RNAcentral describes it as "bacterial SSU rRNA". It matches the Rfam family "Bacterial small subunit ribosomal RNA", at positions 976 to 1381 of the family's 1533-position model. The record is from RNAcentral.